This 366-nucleotide ribosomal RNA is filed under the name Calepitrimerus sp. S122 1. RNAcentral describes it as "partial small subunit ribosomal RNA". The record is from RNAcentral. Lineage: Eukaryota; Metazoa; Arthropoda; Arachnida; Trombidiformes; Eriophyidae.
UCUGACUAAAUCCAGAAGUGACGGGCAAUUUGUGCAUGUAGAAGUUUCCUUUCACCCCUAACUUUAUCUUUCAUUCAGGUUAUUAUUAGGUCCACUAUAUUUCUUUUUAUUCCACAUUUCAAGUAGUUUUUAGCAAUGUGUUUCGCUUCAUUCCUUUUUAUUACUCUUGUCUUGAUUUGUAAUUUCAUUUUUCAAUGGUGGGAAGAUUCCUUUAAGAACCAGCUUAAGACAAUGAUAUAAGAAGUUAUAAAAAAAGGUCCCUUUAAUCGUGGGGUAUCUAUUAUUGAGUAAAACCCCCUAAAGAAUUCUACACCGCCAUUACAUUUAGGUUUCUCUUAUCUAGGUACUAUCCUUUUUAGUUUAGGA